AAACGAAAAGAAAGUACAAAGCGUUUAAGUGACACUGUUUUGUUUUUGUUUUAUUGAUUUGGGUUUGAGCCAACAGUUUGAUGCAUGCAUCGGCUUUGAGUUUGUUUGUUUACUUUGACCAUACACUCCCAACACAUAUUUCAUUAGUGGCUCAUUCAAACACUCACCCACUACAACCUUGCGAUCUUCAAGCAAAACGACAACAAAACGUCAGAAGACUGAAAGAUUGCCCCCCGUCUUAUCUGCAUGUCCACUGUGGACAUACACGCAUGCAUUCCAGUGCAUUUGUGAAUGGCCGCCAUUGUUUCCGCUUUCUUUGAGGCAUUGAGCAGCGGAGAAACUUGGCUGCAGUUCACUUGCUACUGAUGAGCCACAAGCGAGCAGAAAUGGACAAAGGAAAGGCUACCUUAUGGAGAUAUUAGGUUCAAAACCAUGGCGAG
Non-coding RNA from Nerophis lumbriciformis (worm pipefish), 440 nucleotides. The record is from RefSeq and is a predicted model, not a curated record. Lineage: Eukaryota; Metazoa; Chordata; Actinopteri; Syngnathiformes; Syngnathidae.